RNAcentral lists this ribosomal RNA (468 nucleotides) under uncultured bacterium. RNAcentral describes it as "partial 16S ribosomal RNA". It matches the Rfam family "Bacterial small subunit ribosomal RNA", at positions 28 to 507 of the family's 1533-position model. The record is from RNAcentral.
GACGAACGCUGGCGGCGUGCUUAACACAUGCAAGUCGAACGGAAAGGCCCUGCUUUUGUGGGGUGCUCGAGUGGCGAACGGGUGAGUAACACGUGAGUAACCUGCCCUUGACUUUGGGAUAACUUCAGGAAACUGGGGCUAAUACCGGAUAGGAGCUCCUGCUGCAUGGUGGGGGUUGGAAAGUUUCGGCGGUUGGGGAUGGACUCGCGGCUUAUCAGCUUGUUGGUGGGGUAGUGGCUUACCAAGGCUUUGACGGGUAGCCGGCCUGAGAGGGUGACCGGCCACAUUGGGACUGAAAUACGGCCCAGACUCCUACGGGAGGCAGCAGUGGAGAAUAUUGCACAAUGGGCGGAAGCCUGAUGCAGCAACGCCGCGUGCGGGAUGACGGCCAUCGGGUUGUAAACCGCUUUCGCCUGUGACGAAGCGUGAGUGACGGUAAUGGGUAAAGAAGCACCGGCUAACUACGUG